UCUUGCCUGUUUUAUUUUUGAUUGACCGCCCGAUAUCAGCCAACAUAUUUCGCUGGGAUUGUGAUAGUUCUUUGUUUUCAUCAGGAAACUACCAGCGGCUGUGGCGACACUCUGAGGAGAAUUUAUUCAUUAGAUUUUGAAGUGUGCCUAAAAAGUCUUAUUAUUGAAUUGCAACAACUAACGUUGUAUUCGUUUUUAUCCUACAUGUUUGUCUUUGUUUGGAUCUUCACUCUUGGGUAUUGCUUGGAUCUCUGACAAAUUUACUCUGAGGUUGGCUAGUAUCUCAAAGGUAUUCAUCAUUGUGAUUUGCAUUAAUCUGAGAGAUUUAGUCCAUGCCACUAAAACCAAAAAUUAAACAAAGUCAGCUUCCAUAUAAGAGAGUCUAAGAUAGCCAUCAUGUCAAUCGCAACACUUCACACUUGUGAGUAGAGGGUGACGAGCGGGAAUUCCCGGGAAAAAUUUCCCGGGAAAUCGACCAUUUUUGGACCUCUCGAUUCCCGGGAAAUUUGGUCGAGAGUCCCGGGAAAUUUUGUACUUAUAAAAAUCGAAGCAAAAUGUUAUAAACUAAUCAGAACAUCAUUUGACAAAUUUCAAAUGGUUUAGAACAUUGGAUGUUAACUUGUCGUACGUUCCAAUAACUAUAAUCGAGAGAAGCCCAAUAAAUGUGGACUCCAAAAUUUACCAUAAAGCAAACUUAGCGGUUACAUCCCAGAAAUAAAAUAGAUUUUUUUUAUUAUUUGUAAUAAGGAUAACCCUUUUCAAAAUGUUCAAUUUCCAUAUACUCUCUCAAGCAUAGCAAUUUCAUUGUUGAUGGCAAUAAGUCAUUUUGUGUUUCGCAUCAACCUCAAUAUUACACGCAAAAUCCAGAUAACACAGAUCUGUGUUAAAAAAUUACACAGGUUGUGGAACAGUUCCGGCUUUCAAAAGUGGGUAAUUUUUUUACACAGAUCUGUGUAAAAAGUUACACAGAUUUUCGAUCAGCCUUCCUUGCAAAUCUGGGUGAAAAAGAUAAGAUGGCGUUUUCCUGCAACAUUGAGGAAAUUUGACUUUUUUGACGAAAUGACCAGUUGUUGCAUCGUAAUUGAACUGGAAUUGGUCCCAUUGCAGAGAAAUGAUUACUCGAAAAUUUAUAAUGCUCCCGUUGAUCGUCUUGCAUGCACGCCGAUUCCGCCU
Molecule: long non-coding RNA, 1173 nt
Organism: Culex pipiens pallens (northern house mosquito)
Lineage: Eukaryota; Metazoa; Arthropoda; Insecta; Diptera; Culicidae
Exons: 3
Source: RefSeq, a predicted model, not a curated record